This is a small nucleolar RNA of Cavia aperea (Brazilian guinea pig), 135 nucleotides long. Lineage: Eukaryota; Metazoa; Chordata; Mammalia; Rodentia; Caviidae. The record is from Ensembl.
CUGGCCCUGAAUCAAGGCUGGCAGCUUCCUGACGCUCCUGUUCAAACAGGAGCCUAGAGAGAUGUUUUUCUAUGGUCUGUUGGCCAUUUCAGAACUUGGGCAGUGUAAUGGUCAAUUCCUUAGAAAGAAACAGCU